Rhineura floridana is the source of this 1280-nucleotide long non-coding RNA. RefSeq lists it as uncharacterized. The transcript has 3 exons. The record is from RefSeq and is a predicted model, not a curated record. Lineage: Eukaryota; Metazoa; Chordata; Lepidosauria; Squamata; Rhineuridae.
UAAAGGAACAUGGGGGUGUUUUCUGAACAGCAGCUACAACAUAUGGUCUUAUCUUCCUGCAUCCUCAAGAAAGAAAUGGUGACAGCGGCCAUGAAAUUUAUAAUAAAUAUUUGAGGAGAAAGUAAAGUACAGUUUUCAUCUACGUGACUGCAGAGAAAAACAUGAAAAGUUUACUACUGAGCGCUCCUUCACAGCCAAGUUGGAAAUGUGCCAUAGUAUAUGCAGAAAGUGAUCUUGGAGAAAGGCCACUUUGAGAAAUGGCAGAAGCUAGUGGCUGGAGGUUCACUGUUUCCCCAUUCCUGAUCUAAAGGGCCUGCUGACAAGUUGUCUCAUCACUAGUAAAUGUUCCUCUUCCUUCUCAGUAAAUGCCAUGAGUCAAGACUGCAUCCCAAUAAGGACUUGUUUCAGUUUUUACAAAUGAUGAGGACAGCAGCAAAAACCAACCUUACUCAGGAGGUGCUCCUUUUUAGGGACAGACAAAGAAAAGAGCAUUCAUUGGGCUCCUUUAGAAUUUCUGCUUAACAUUUCUGAUGAGCCAACAAAUAGUCUUGUAAGGUUGUGUAGACUACAUGUUUGUAGGCCAGGGGUUCCAUAUGGGUACCAGAAGGUUAUGCCACAGACCUCACCAGGAUUAUCACAUUAAACAGAUGCCUGCAUAAUAUAUGCUAAAACACAGCUUCCCAGAUAACAAUAUCUUUUAAAUCAUUUAAUGUGUUUAUAUUGAUCCAAGAGGAAACAUCGAUUUAUACAAGUUUUACUGUUAUAUGGUUUCCCAUUCUGUUACUUCAGGCCUACAUAAACACAUUUUAUAAAUAAAUAACCUUCCUAAAUUCAUUUCUUUCUUGUUAUUGUUUCUCUUAAAAUAGCCCUACUUUUAAAGCAUACUGAAAUCACAGACAUAAAACUCCAUUUAAAUAAUGUAACACUGACAGAACCUGACACAUAGCCUGGACAUUCAGAGCUGUGGUUGGCUCAAGCCACUGAACUCAAGCCACUGUGCCUUUCAUUUUCCACAGGAGCAUUAUUGCAGCUUUAAGUGUGGAUUUCCUGGUGGUGCUGCUAAUGGUUGAUAAUAAUAAUAAUAAUAAAAUAAAAUUUUAUUUCUGAGUCGCCUAUCUGGCCGAAAUAACGGCCACUCUAGGCGAUGCACAUUAAUACAAUAAAAUACAAUAUAAAAUAGAUAAGACCAUCAUCGGCUAACCCACUCUUCCAGUUAAUAACACAUUAACAACUAACCCAUCCCAGAAAUCCCAUAGGCCUGCCUGAAUAGCCAGGUCUUC